UUUUUUUCCCUGUGAAGUGUAAAGCUUUUUUCUAUGUAUAAGCAAUCAACUACAAUGUGAUUAAGAUCUAGGAUUUCCUGCACUUAAAGACAACUGAUAAAUUGAAAUGACAUGGUUCUGUUGACAGUUUAUUGCUGAAGUAAUCCAAAUACCUUUUUAGUUUUUGUUACUGUCAAAUUAAUUUGUUUAAAAUGAGCCAGGAGAGAACUCUGAGGGAAGACAGAUAUUCUAUUAUAUUUUCCUUCUUUUUUAGUCCAUGACUUCAGGCUGCUGCAUCUCUUCAAACUUCAAACUAAAACACAGAUGUGAAAUAAGGCCUUCCACACUACAUGUAAAUGCAAGUACAAACAAUCAAGACAGUAUCUUUAUUAUUUUGGUUUUUAAAGAUACAGUUCAUACAUGCUUAAAACUUAAACAGAGGAGGUUCAGGUUGGAUAUAAGGAAGUUCUUUACUGUGAGGGUGGUGAGGCACUGGAACAGGUUGCUCCAUCCCUGGCAGUGUUCAAGGCCAGGCUGGAUGGGGCCUUGGGCAACAUGGUCCAGUGUGAGGUGUCCCUGCCCGUUGCAGGGGAGUUGGAACUAGACUGUCCUUUCCAGCCCUAACCAUUCUAUGAUUCCAUGAUUCUAUGAGAUGAAUGCUACAACAGAAAUGCAAGGGUUGCUUCUGCUAUUAUAUGAACUGUACAGUACUCUACUUGAUGAAUUUAUCUUUAAAAUAAUUUUUGAUUUGUCAUAAAGAACAAUGUUAGAAUCUUUCUUGAAAUUAGUGCCUAGUUUUCUUAAUUACAGCAAUUUUUUCCUACCAAUAUGAAUAAAACCUUUCUUUGUCACAAGCAUGAAAUGAAAUACUGCUGUAUUUGUGGUUAUGUGAGAACUUCAGUACCAUCCUGGAUUAUUUCUUUGUCCUAACUCAAACAGAAGAAAACAGAGAAUAAAACUGUGAUACAGACAAUGAGAUUGAUCCAGGAGAGUGAAAAUAAUACCAAAUACUUUGUAAAGAAGCCUGAGAUACCAAAGGAACAUUUUGCAGGUGCUGGUUUUCCACAAAACAAACAAACAAACAAAAAAACCCAAACAAAAACCCAAACAAACAAAACCAACCAAAUAAACAACAAAAAAAACCCCAACAAAAACCAACAAAAAAAAAUUUAGAGGUCAUAAGGCCCGCACAGAGUUAAAGAUACUCCAUAGAGGAGGAUGUAUAGAAAUAUACUGGUAAGAAAUUGGCAGCAGCAUUUCUGAAAGAGAAAGGUGGCCUAAAAGCAUACUGGUAGAGCACAGCCUGCUUUGGCCUACGCACAUUGGAAAGUAGACAAGUUUACUUUUGAACACGUUUUCAUGGGAAGACUGAAUAUUACAUAAGGAAAUAGGUAUAAGCUUUAUGGUACAAACUUUUCUAUCUGGUUCCUAUAGACCUGCUGAAUAUGUGAAUAAUGCUUUGCUUUGAAGACACUGUUUUUCAAACAUUUGGUUCAGCCCACCCUUAAGCUCCUUUAACACAGUUAGUCUGCUGGCUAUCAUAAGCUGAAAAUAACUGUAGACCAGAUAUCCCAUCUGAGAGCAUUUAGAUCACCAAGUUUUUGAAGGUUAUAUAUGGAUAUGUCAAGUAGUUCAUGAUUGAUGUAGAAGUGUCAUGAAUACAUGCUAAUAUUCAGAAAUACAUAUAUGCAAGAUAGAAUAAUAAAGACGGAGCUUUAAAUUAAUGUAGUAGGGUAACAGAUUUUGGAAAUCUUGCUGGGAUAUUAAAUGGAUUACGUGAACACGAAUCCUAGCUCUGAGAGUGUGGUCUUCAAACGUCACAGCUAUUAAGCCAUUACUGCCCAGUCUGGGCAAGGGCUGAGUACCAUUUGUCAUGAGGCUAAUAGGCUUGGACUCUGCUCAGCAUGUCAAGGAAAGUGACUUUGUACCUGACAGGAGAGGUCUGUAUUGUUUAAGAACAUAAAAAUAUGCUUUAAAGCUAGGCUUGCUUCGGGUUAAAGGAUUAUAUAACUGUUUCUAACUUACAUAUUGAAAUCCAUUUCUUGAACAAGAAGUUUCCAUUGUACAAACAUACCUGGUUUGCAUUGGUAUGUAUACAACUUAAUGGGACUAGUAGUUGCUGACUUUAACAAUGCCAGUAAUUUUUAGCACUCAGCAGUAUAAGGAAAGAAUGAACUGUAGAUUUUAAAUAAACACAUUUACCAUUGCUGCUACUUGAAAAUGACCUACUGUGACAUCAGAAAAGUACCCAUGAAAUAUUUACAGAAAAACUCUAAGAGUAGCUAACAGUAGAUGGUAUAUAGCAAGAUCUAAGACAAUCCUGAAUGGGAUCCAACAUGAAUAAAAGACAUUACUUCCUAACUUGCAUCAUUAAAGGUAAGCAUGAAGACUAUUCUUCAUCGGCAUUUUUUGUCUUGUUCAAUCUAAAUAUUUGUCAUUUAACAAUUAACUCCUUUAUAAUACUAUCAAACUCUUGACCUCAAUUUAAAAUACAAUACAAAAUACUUUGAAAAUUAAUGUCAAGAAAAAUUCACUCUGAUAUUCCAAUCAUUUCAAUAGGUAUCAAUAACUAGGAAGAGUAGACUUACUCUCUACAUGACUCGAUCCACUGAGAAUAAUCAGAUCUUAUGUUUACUAUGGAACCUUUUCAGUUGCAACCUUAUGCCUUCAUUGAUACAAGUAAAAUUAUGAGGGCCUCCAAAAUUACUCUGACAAUAAGCAACAGAUGAAAAUGUGUAAGAGAUAACAGCAUGUUUGAGAACAGAUCAAAUGUGUACAUGAAGCACUUCCUCAAGUCCUGUAUUACAAGACUUACCAGAAAACAAUACAUAUCCAAGUUAAAACAGUAUAUUGAGCUUGGCAAAGGGAAGCGUUUUAACUGUUUGCGGCUUAAAGAUAUGGAGAACACAGUGGCUGCAGCAAUAUCAGGAACAUUUGAGUGAGCAUGUGUACUUUCACUCCAAAGUUGCAUGUCCGUUUAAGUACUAUUCAGUCUGGAAGAGUAAUGCAGGUAUUUCUGGUUUAUCCUACAUGUGGAAACCUACAUUAGCAACAUUCUGAAGAACAAAUUUGAAUUAGUGGUUCAUGGUUGUGACACCAUUAUAAGAUUCUAAAAAAAAAAAAAAAGAAAAA
This is a long non-coding RNA of Strigops habroptila (Kakapo), 3111 nucleotides long. Lineage: Eukaryota; Metazoa; Chordata; Aves; Psittaciformes; Psittacidae. The record is from Ensembl.